Long non-coding RNA from Macrobrachium nipponense, 1595 nucleotides. RefSeq lists it as uncharacterized. Lineage: Eukaryota; Metazoa; Arthropoda; Malacostraca; Decapoda; Palaemonidae. The record is from RefSeq and is a predicted model, not a curated record. The transcript has 3 exons.
ACAAUACGCAAUAUCCUGCGCUGCCUGCCGGUGCCGGGGAAAGAACCGCAAAAGUCCGCAAUAGCCGACACCAGCAACAGUCAACAACACUACCAUGACAGUAGGAUAAUACGAACCCGAGGAGCCAACUUUGAAGUUCUUGUAUUGUGGAAAUUACAUCGCUGUACCUUAAAAGUUUUGCCCGUCUUAACCAAGGAUCUGAAACAUUGUUAAACAUUGUAAGACUGAAUCUUUGUGAUAUAAUAAGAGUACUUCAGUUCAUCAUGCAGGUGAAUGAGAAUGAAGCCCUUGAAACUGAAAAUACUGAAGAUCCAGUAAGCCACCAGGAAUGCAGGGCAGAGUUGCGAGAGCGAUUUCUUUGGGCUGUGACUGCCUUGGUUGGCAAGGAGAUUGACGUUCAAAUGCACGAAAACAUAAGUGUUUCAGGUGUGUUUAGGGGAGUUGAUAAGGAUGUCCUGAGUCUUCAUGUCCAAAAUUUAAAGACUCCAACUAUAACAUAUCCCCAUUCCAUGUUAAGAAUGCCCGAUUGUUGCUCUGUUAAAUGCAAUAUUAAGUAUGGCUGAUGAUUUAUAAUUUAUGUCCUUACUUAUGCAGUAUUAAAUAUGGCUGAUAAUUUAUAAUGUAUGUAUGUCCUUAGUUUUUUGUAUUUUUGAUAUUGAAAAAAGUAUAUAUUUUUUGUAUACCAAAAUUUUAUUACAUGGUGAAAUAAUUAGGGUCUCCAUGGUAACUUAUGUAUGAUAUGGCUACUGUUGUAUGUAAAAAAGAAUCCUAAGUCUCUUGCACAAGCAUCAAAAGAUUAAGAGGCAUGGUAUGAGAAUGUUUGGACCUUUGCUCACUGAGAGAAACUCUUUGUUAGGGCUAAAUUUCAUCUUUGUAAGUUUGUGGAAUUGUAAGAGUAUGUUGCCAAGAACUUUACUCCAUUUUAGUUUAUCUAUGUACGUUAAUUGGAAUUAGUUGAAAGUAUGUACAUAUGAUAAUUUGGGCCAUAUGGCUCAGGACUGGAGUAGUGGAAGCCAUUCACUGUUAAUUAAAACCAGUUACCUUUUAUUUUUUUAGCAGUGCUCUGCGACACAAGUGGAGCUGUGAUACAUUUAAAAAUAAAUCAUGCCUUUAGUAAUCAGUAGUUCAAACCACUUCCUUGAUUACACAGAAUAACUUUAAUGAUCUGACCACAUCUGAAUCUUGUUUUACCUCUGCUGUACCAUUCAUAUCUAUGGGAAGAUGCAUUACCUGGCAAAGUGUCAUUCCAUUGUUGGCUAUGUAAUCUUGUAUAAUACAGUAGAGCAUACCAAGUUUCUUAUGACCAAGGUAUUGCUUGUACAGCCAGCAGUCUCUGAACAAAGGUGAGGAAUUUGGCAAUGAAAAUUCAAUAGGCUUCCAAGCCCAAGUAUGUACUUGAUGUUUAUGUUGUGUAUGGUUCAUGUUGCUCCAGCUCCAUAAUUUUUGGUUGUAAUACAGUAUUUGUUGUAGGCGAGUUACCAUUGUUUGAAAAAUAUUUCACUUUGUGACUGCAGUAGCAAGACUUGAAUGAGCAUGGACCUUUCCUACUGGUCUUUAUUAAUAUAAACUAUGUUUGAAUUACAUAUUUCAAGUAG